AUCCUGUUGGCUGCCUUCCCAGGGCUGGGAAUGAGUGUUGCUUUACUGGGACCCACAUUUCAAUAUUUUGCCACAAGUUUGAACCAAAAUAUUAGUCAUCUUCCUUUAAUUUUUGUGGGCCCUACCUUUGAGUGGCUCUGUGAUUGGUGGAGUUCUUUUUGACAUCAUGAUUUUUUUUUUUUUUUUUUUUUUUUUUUACUUUUGAAAGUGUCAGUGUUGGCUACCACAGUUUGUCUUUAUCUUGUUUAUUUUUUCAAGACAGCUCUAUUACUGAUUGUCAUGAUGUCUAUCUUUGGUACUUCAAUUUGCAUUCUGGAUACAGGUGGUGAUGUCCCUAUCUUGGCUGUUUGAAGAACAUAGGAUCUCCACAUAUGUAGGCAUAUUACACUUCUGUUUUGCCUUGGGUGCCUUUUUGGCUCCACUGCUAGCUAAACUGGCAUUGGGUACGAGAGUGUCUGUGAAAACCACGCAGUCUGACUUUCACCAUCCUGCACUGACGCUGACUCAGAAUCUCUGUUUGGAGGACCUGAAGUUAUGUGUUUACUGUGGUCUUAUGCUCUGAACAGUACUUAUAUUUUUGUAGGUCCUAUCUUUGUUUUUGCUCUGUUUUUAAAGAUAAGCUCAAGGUGAGGAAAAGCAAAAGCAUCUGCUCAGACAUCUCAAAGAACUAAAUAUCACAAUGCCAUUUUUUGUCUCCUUUUUCUGUUCUUCAUUUCUUAUGUUGGAGCUGAGGUAACAUAUAGCUCCUACAUUUUCUCAUGUGCAGCCAUUCACGCUAUUGUGAAAUAAAGUGAGGCUACUGGGUUGAACUCCAUCUUCUGGGGGACCUUUAUGUCCUUCAGGGGACUGGUAAUGUUUUUUGCUACAUUUUACAUCCUGGAACCAUGAUUGUGUCAAGCAAGAUUGGCAGCCUGCCUUCAUCUUUAUAUCUUGUGCUUUUUGGCAAGAGCCUGGUUUGUCUUUGUAUAGUAAUUCCAGUGUAUGGGGCCCUGAUGGAAACUACAUUUUCCAGUGGUGCUUCUUAGAUUGCACAGUACAUGAUCACACAUGAGAAAUUUGCAGCAUUUUUUGUAAUCAGUGCUGUCCUAGAAGAAGUGGCUACUUCUGUAGAAAUUGGAUUUUUUCCAAAGAAAAUACCCUGAUUUGCCUGUAGUUCUGUAUACAUCUGUUUGGGCGUAUUGAUAGCCACUGGUGUUUUAUUUCCUGGGAUGUAUGAAUUAGCCACUUCACCUCUUAAUCACCAGAGAAAAGUAAACAGAAAGAGUGAGGUCCAGAUACUUUUGCUCUCCAGGUCUGGGCUAAAUGACUAUGAGGAAGAGAAAUGAAGAGGAAGAUGCAGAAAAAUUGAAUGAAAUCCAUUUUGAAGUGACUGAAAUGAAUGAUAAAAUGAAACAUUCUAAUAGGUACAUCUAGAGAUAUUUUGAUAGAGGCCACAGCUGAAGUCUCUGACCAAUCCCUCUCAAACGUUUUGGUGUUUGAGUCCUCCUUGGUUAAUACUGGCAACUCCCCUGUGAGGCACUUGUCAGAAACCGGGAUAACAGGAACUGUUAGU
Molecule: long non-coding RNA, 1552 nt
Filed under: Homo sapiens (human)
Lineage: Eukaryota; Metazoa; Chordata; Mammalia; Primates; Hominidae
Description: non-protein coding lnc-MOCS2-6:1
Source: RNAcentral